Molecule: long non-coding RNA, 361 nt
Organism: Sphaerodactylus townsendi
Lineage: Eukaryota; Metazoa; Chordata; Lepidosauria; Squamata; Sphaerodactylidae
Exons: 2
Source: RefSeq, a predicted model, not a curated record
GAGUCCAUCUAGUCCAGCUCUCUGCUACUCGCAGUGGCCCACCAGAACAGUGGUAAUUCAGGGAUAUCUCCAGCCCCCUCCUGGAGGAUGACAACUCUAAACCCUUGCUUAAAGAGGACGUAGACAUGCUUGGCCAUUACAAAGCUGAAUAUCGAAAAGCUAUAUACAGCUGUUCCUUCCACAUUGUGGGAGCCAGGGACACAGCGCCCCCCACGAUCUGGAAAUCUGCGUAAAAUCUUGUGGCCCUCCCUUUGUGCCAGAGAAGAAGUCUGAUCUUUUUUUGUUUUAUUUUAACUUUUAAAAAUAGUGUAUAUUUGUGGUUUAAAAAUAAAAUAAAAUAUGGUGAUAUUAUACAAUCUUA